Molecule: long non-coding RNA, 1320 nt
Filed under: Lonchura striata (white-rumped munia)
Lineage: Eukaryota; Metazoa; Chordata; Aves; Passeriformes; Estrildidae
Description: domestica (Bengalese finch) lncRNA (ENSLSDG00000015989.1)
Source: RNAcentral
GCCCCUUGACCCUGGGAUCUGCCCCAGAACCAGUGUCCAGGGUCCCCAGGAGAGAAGGGACACCUCAGCAGAAUCCAUUUUUAGGCCAUUUCAGGGUUAAUAAGGUUUCUCCAUUGGCAGAAUUACAGGAAUUGAACGUUCUCCACAACUUAUUUUAAUUCUAACUAAAUAAUAUGGCUACAGGGAGCACCAAAGGAAUCUUAAGGGGGAAAUGCUGAAGUUGGGUCAUUCUCAAGACUUUGGGUCUGUGAGGUCCACUGACUCAUCAGAGAAAGGAGUGUGGCAUGGACGGAUGCUGUGCACAGCAGUGAAUCGCAGUAACAAGUUCACAGAAAACUUCAGGAGGCUUUUACAAAGGCUUGUAAGCACUUUGAAGCUGGAGACUGUUUUUAUAUACGUACAGCACUUGCGUAACAAGGUCUCGACAGUGAAUGGGAUUCCAGGGUGCAGUUGCAAUAAAGUGAUUAAUAGUAUCAUUCAUGGUAUCAUACCUCAUUCAUAAGUUUCCUGUAAGUUAAGAGGAAUACAUUGGCAGGAACACAGUGGUUGUGACUUUAAACACGAUACUCUUGGGGGGAAAAGUUACUGCUAACACAUGCACUGAAGGGCAGUGCAAUUAGUAAAACUAUAUAAAAGGCUCAAGAAAAUAAUUUUUAAAGCAAAAGCCUGCAAAGAUCUAGUUCUGAGCUGGUUCUGUGGCACAGAAAAAGCAAGGUGGAUAUUGAUACACAGCUGGUGAAACCAAGACCAGAAAAUGAGAUGUGUCUGUCACAGGGAUGGGUCAGGGGUGAUCACUAUUUAUUCAGGAACACACAAGUAGGGUUUGGGUUUGUUGCUUCUUAAUCUGCACACAGUGAGGUGACAUUUGUCACCAAAAUUUUUGCCACCAAAAUGUUUGUCACCUGCUUGUGGCAAAAAAUCACUGCGAAGACCAGGCAAGAUGCAAAAGAGAAUGGAAAACAGUUGUCAAAGGAGAAGUAAAUGUCCUGGCUGUGAGCUGCAGCAGCUCAGGAUGCAUUUGGAGCCUUAAGAGAAAUGACAAAUAAUGGUUCAAUAUUUCCUAUAAAGCUGCUUAUUUCAUUUGAAAGCAAAUGAUGGGUCAAUAUUUCUGCUUAUUUCAUUUGGAGAAUAAGUUGUUAAACAGCUACCACGUGGCUGAAGUAUGGAGAAAUAAGUGGGGUGAUAAAAUACGACCUGGUGUUUCAGUGUACCAGCAUCCCCACGACGAGGCAUUUAGCUCGAUCCAAGAAAACAUCAGCCUUCGGGAGCAGGCGGGGUGAGUAACACAGGAUGGCUUGGGCUGCGUCCCUGCCCGGGCUC